AUACCGUGAUGAGGGAACUUUCGUAAUAAAUCCUUAAAUCACUCACAUGCCUCAUAUAAAGAUUCUUUGUCAAGUUGCUAAAAUGAAGUGAUUUCAUUUCGGAUCUU
Molecule: small nucleolar RNA, 107 nt
Organism: Gossypium raimondii (Peruvian cotton)
Lineage: Eukaryota; Viridiplantae; Streptophyta; Magnoliopsida; Malvales; Malvaceae
Rfam family: Plant small nucleolar RNA R71
About the family: R71 is a member of the C/D box family of snoRNAs containing the C (UGAUGA) and D (CUGA) box motifs.
Source: Rfam